Molecule: ribosomal RNA, 1730 nt
Filed under: Veillonella parvula
Lineage: Bacteria; Bacillati; Bacillota; Negativicutes; Veillonellales; Veillonellaceae
Description: partial 23S ribosomal RNA
Rfam family: Bacterial large subunit ribosomal RNA
Source: RNAcentral
GGUCAAGUUAUUAAGGGUGCAGGGCGGAUGCCUUGGCACUAGGAGCCGAUGAAGGACGUGAUAAUGUCUAAGUAUCAUUAAGUGAAUACAUAGCUUAAUGAGGGGAACUCAGGGAACUGAAACAUCUAAGUACCUGAAGGAAGAGAAAGAAAUUCGAUUCCGUAAGUAGCGGCGAGCGAACGCGGAUUAGCCCAAACCAAUAAAGUUUUCUUUAUUGGGGUUGCGGACAUAUCAUAACGAAGAGGUAUCGUAAUUGAAGAGGUUUGGAAAGACCCACCACAGAAGGUAAUAGUCCUGUAUGUUAAACGAGAAGACUUUAGAUAUGAUCCAGAGUACCACGGGACACGUGAAACCCUGUGGGAAGCAGGAGGGACCACCCUCCAAGGCUAAAUACUACCUAGUGACCGAUAGCGUAUAGUACCGUGAGGGAAAGGUGAAAAGAACCCCGGGAGGGGAGUGAAAUAGAACCUGAAACCCUGCACUUACAAGCUGUGGAAGCACAUUUCUUGUGUGACCGCGUACUUUUUGUAGAACGGGCCAACGAGUUACGUUAAGUAGCAAGGUUAAGCACUUAAGGUGUGAAGCGAAAGUAAAAUUUCGUGGAGGUCCGAACCCACGAGCGUUGAAAAGCUCGGGGAUGACUUGUGGGUAGCGGUGAAAUUCCAAUCGAGCCCGGAGAUAGCUGGUUCUCCCCGAAAUAGCUUUAGGGCUAGCCUCAAGGUGAGAGAUACGGAGGUAGAGCACUGAAUGUCCUAGGGGGUAUUGCACCUACCGAAGACUAUCAAACUCCGAAUGCCGUCAUCUUAUACUUGGGAGUCAGACUGUGGGUGAUAAGAUUCAUAGUCGAAAGGGCAACAGCCCAGAUCGUCAGCUAAGGUCCCUAAAUGUAAGUUAAGUGGUAAAGGAUGUGGGAUUGCACAGACAACCAGGAUGUUGGCUUAGAAGCAGCCACUCAUUCAAAGAGUGCGUAAUAGCUCACUGGUCGAGUGAUCCUGCGCCGAAGAUUUCCGGGGCUAAAACUUACUACCGAAGCUACGGCAUCAGUAAUGAUGGGUAGGGGAGCUUCCCAUACGGGUUGAAGCAUGACCGUAAGGACAUGUGGACAGUAUGGGAGUGAGAAUGUUGGCAUGAGUAGCGAGAUGUGGGUGAGAAUCCCACAGGCCGUAAACCCAAGGUUUCCAGGGGAAGGUUCGUCCGCCCUGGGUUAGUCGGGACCUAAGCUGAGGCCGAAAGGCGUAGGUGAUGGACAACAGGUUGAUAUUCCUGUACUACCGAUAACCGUUUGAGAGAAGGGAUGACACAGUAGGAUAAGCUAAGCACACUGUUGGUUAUGUGUGCCCAAGCAUUGAGGCAGUCAAAGUAGGCAAAUCCGCUUUGAUAAUGCUGGGAUGUGAUGGGGAGCGAAAUUUAGUAGCGAAGUAGCUGAUUUCACACUGUCAAGAAAAGUCUCUAUCGAGGUUAAAGGUACCCGUACCGCAAACCGACACAGGUGGGUGAGGAGAGUAUCCUAAGGCCAGCGAGAGAACUGUUGUUAAGGAACUCGGCAAAAUGACCCCGUAACUUAGGGAUAAGGGGUGCCACCAUCAGGUGGCCGCAGAGAAUAGGCCCAAGCGACUGUUUACCAAAAACAUAGGUUUCUGCUAAGUCGCAAGACGAUGUAUAGGAGCUGACGCCUGCCCGGUGCUGGAAGGUUAAGGGGAUCUGUUAGAGCAAUCGAAGCAGUGAACUUA